CGCAUGAAAAACUUGUGUUAGACAGUUACCAGCCUCACAGUGAUCUGACUCGUUUUUCUGUUUAAAACAUUCUGAAACUUCUAUGGAGACUUAUCUGAUGCCACCUAUAUAUAAUGACCUAGAUUUUAAAAACAGUUGGGAAGCAGACGUCUGGAAAUCUGCUGUGAAUUUUAACAUUUUCCAUACAAAGAUCGAGUGUUAACCUGCAGUUUGUUUUCCCAUUAGGAAAGACUGAAAUGCUUUCAGGACUUCUCAGCUGUAUAAUGAGGAUCAUCUUGUUUGGGAUAUGACCACGGAGUAACAACAGGGUCAUGCUUUCUCUGUCAGAUUCCUGUCUCAAAGGAGAUCCAGCAGUCCUCUUAGUAUGGGCUGGUGUUCUUCCAGUCUGUUCAAGACCAGCAUCAGAGGGGACUUCCACUUGAUUUAUUGUGACCUCAUGGCAGAACGUGCUUUUUUUGGACGAGGUAUGCAUCAAGGGCAUUGAGUGGUCAAUGGAACGAACAGGUGGAAAAUGAAAGAUCUGCAGCAGUGCAGAGGACACACAGAGCCUGAGCAGAAGGCAAGCAGAAGUUGGGGACAGACAGAAAACCAGAGGUGCCAGACUGAAGCUUUAACAUCACCUGAGUAACAUCCAGUAAUUUUCACUUAGCAAUAGUUUCUUAUAACUGCAAGAAAUAAGUUUUUCCAAAGCUUCUCAUCCAUUAAUGCGCUUUUACAGAGGAGAAUUUGCACCUCACAAAAGCCAAGAUGGUGUUGGUGGCAGCAGAAUACUUUGUAUCUAAUUAUUUUUUUUUUUUACUGGAAAAGGAACUACACUUUUUUAAUGAAUAUUGUAGUUUCCAAAAAUGGUAGUUAUUGCUUAUCAUAUAUUCCAUCAUUGUUUAAGAAUAACUCAAGUGAUAAAAACCCCUAAUCACAACACCUUCCAGAAGAAUAAAGACUUGACCAUCCUGUAGUUUACAAAGUCAUCUUCUCAACAAUUUAUAGUUCAUUCACUCCACAAACAUGACAAGAAUCAAUCUCCACAAGCUAAAUGAAUGACAUCCUCUGUGAACAUGUCAGCCCCCAGCCAUCUGCAGCAGGCCUGAGAAAACAGGCGGUGGUAUAACCCAGAAGGUCAAUGAACUGAAGCUUUCCGACCUGCACUCGUUUGGAGCUGAGGGAGAAGCAAGGACCUCCAGGCUGUGAGCUUUCUGAGCUAUAUCUCUAGCUGCACACCCAAUAACUGUCUAAAUGUGAUUCGGGGCUAUGCUAAGUCCUCAGUUUUUCGCACACAUUUGAGAUUUCCUAAUUACAAUUCCACACAGUGACAGGCAGAUUGAAAUUCCUAUGAUCCCUGUUGUAGUUGCUUUGCAGGCUUCCUUUAUCUGCACAAACAUUUCCUGUUCUGCUUUCUCAUCCUCCCCCAGUGCCUAUAAUGGCUUCCUAUUACACUUUUUUUUACCACUUCUUUCACUUGAGUCCAAAUUGUUUUUCACUGGUGACAGCUCUGCCUGAGAUAUUUCAUGCUUUAGAAAUACAUCAUGGCUUCUCACCAAGUGGGGAGGCUUUCUGUGAGCUACAAAUGUUUUAGGGGGAAAAAAAAAAAGUGUUUUUUGAUGCUUAAAUUUCUUGACUGCAUCUGAAUUUGAUGAGAUCUCAAGUGCAUAUGGGUCAUUUUAGUCUUGUGGUGGCACCGCUCACUUCUGCAUGAACAUAACAUAGUGCUCUUCUUGCACAGGAAGUCCUCUCCAAAUUAAAAUGAACUUUCUUUUAUCACUGCUUUUUGCCUAGGCAACUGCUCUGCUACUAUUUCAACUCUUUUGCAAGAAUAGUUCUGCAUGUACAAGUUGUAAAUCCCACCCUUUUGUAAUGUACACAUACGACUCAUUUUUACAGCUGUGUAGGUUAUUAUACAUACAUACAACACCCAUGGUGUGCUUUUGAUACUGUGUCUUCAUACCAGGCUUCAUACUUCACUACUAUCACGGUUUGCACAGCACAGUAUAGAAGGCCAGGCAUAGAAAUUCAGCUGGGGUAGCAAGCAUACCAUGGAGCUUACAGCCUGGCUGAGAAAGUUACAGACCACACAGCAAAAACUAUAUAGUGCCAGCUGAAAAUGAGGUCGUUACAGUCAGAGUCAAACCAAAAAAAAAAUGAAAGAGGAAUGUUAGAUGGGAAAGCUUUUGUUAUAGGGAGUAGGAGACACAAUGCGUCCUGAAGAAGAUCUGGGGAGCAAGCCUGUACUUCAGCCCAAAAGCACGUCUUCAUUGGCUGCUGCAUUCAGCCAACCCUGCUCCUUCUCUGUAGUGGCCUUCAUUCAUAUUAGUCACUUUUACAGCCUUUGCUUUGCAUUAUCUUGCUUUGUAGCCAUAAAAUUUAUGGAUAUUCUCCAGCUGCCAUCACUGGCCCUGUCCUCCUUGCCAGCUCUCCCAGUCUUCGUUUUUUUUCUGUGCUUUCCAUCUCACGUGUCAUAAUCACGUGCAGUUAAUCUGCAGCAUGUUUGGCUGCCAAUCACCUAAACUUUGCUUAUACUACAGCAAAAUGGUUUCUUCCAGUAACACCAAGAGGUGUAUUGGGCUCUCUUUAGUGCUCUUCACUACAGAAAUGUAGAAGCCUGGUACUUUUUAGCCUCUCAGAAGGCCCUUUGUGAAUUAUUAGUUUGUAGCAUGUAACUGCAUCCCUCUCCGUGAUGAUGAGGGACUCCAUCCCACACAUGCAAACACCUCUGCUGACAGCUCUCAAUUCUUAAGUAAGGGAGUUCUCCAGUAAGCUCAUCACUAAGUUCUAUCCCUUCCCAUCGUAACUGUCUCUGUUGUGUAUGGCUACCAAAUAAAGGGCAACUUUUUCUCUGUCCUUUUGCUGAAACAAGGGCCAGUUAUAUCUCAGAUGAGAGAGUGGAGGGAACAUGGCCACCUUAUUGCCCCUUCGUAGCAUUCUAUGUGUCACUGAGAGGAGCCUGCUGUAAACAUGUCUUUGUCCAGCUCUGAGGACUGUAUCUCUGGAAGGUAUCUACAGCUUUUCUCUUUAGAGGAAUUAUUGGAUACAAUACAGUUAAAGUAGGGGAUGCGGGUGGUAAUUUUGCAGACAAUAUGUCACUGCUUCUGCUGAAGGAAGGCUGAAGUAAACAAUAUGCAUUUUGCAAUGUUUUUUUCAAAGCAAGCAGUGAUCUGCUUUUUUUUUUUUUUUUU
Molecule: long non-coding RNA, 3170 nt
Filed under: Gallus gallus (chicken)
Lineage: Eukaryota; Metazoa; Chordata; Aves; Galliformes; Phasianidae
Description: lncRNA (ENSGALG00010020039.1)
Source: RNAcentral